AUUGAACGCUGGCGGAAUGCUUUACACAUGCAAGUCGAACGGCAGCACGGGGCAACCUGGUGGCGAGUGGCGAACGGGUGAGUAAUAUAUCGGAACGUGCCCAAUCGUGGGGGAUAACGUAGCGAAAGUUACGCUAAUACCGCAUACGAUCUACGGAUGAAAGCGGGGGAUCGCAAGACCUCGCGCGAAUGGAGCGGCCGAUAUCAGAUUAGGUAGUUGGUGGGGUAAAGGCUCACCAAGCCAACGAUCUGUAGCUGGUCUGAGAGGACGACCAGCCACACUGGAACUGAGACACGGUCCAGACUCCUACGGGAGGCAGCAGUGGGGAAUUUUGGACAAUGGGCGCAAGCCUGAUCCAGCCAUUCCGCGUGCAGGAUGAAGGCCUUCGGGUUGGUAAACUGCUUUUGUACGGUAACGAAACGGUACCUGGUUAAUACCUGGGGCGUAAUGACGGUACCGUAAGAAUAAGACACCGGCUAACUACGUAGCCAGCAGCCGCGGUAA
RNAcentral lists this ribosomal RNA (504 nucleotides) under uncultured bacterium. RNAcentral's name for it is "bacterial SSU rRNA". It matches the Rfam family "Bacterial small subunit ribosomal RNA", at positions 30 to 523 of the family's 1533-position model. The record is from RNAcentral.